Long non-coding RNA from Hibiscus syriacus, 364 nucleotides. RefSeq lists it as uncharacterized. Lineage: Eukaryota; Viridiplantae; Streptophyta; Magnoliopsida; Malvales; Malvaceae. The transcript is spliced from 4 exons. The record is from RefSeq and is a predicted model, not a curated record.
AUUAUUUUGGUUAUUAUUAAGUUAGUUGGAAAUUCGAAAAUACUCUUGCUACAUUGCUUAAAUCUCACGGAUGUGGGAGACUAAGAGAAGGUACUCAUGUUAGGAAUGUGAUUUCGAGAUUCCAAUAUGAGAGAAGUUCCUAAACAGACGGUGAUGGCUAUGAAGUCUUACCAAACCAGGCUCAGUUGUUGGUUAAGAUACAUAUUUGCAGAUCCCUUCAUUCCAUACACUUCCAUCCUUGGCGGCAUUCUGCUUGCAAAGCGGCCUAGAUCUUACCCGAUUAAUCAGCGGUUCUUACUGCAAGACUUACACUGGUCUACCAAAAUUCAACGAGUAGAGUGGACAAUCGUGGCAUCUCUACAGU